Molecule: ribosomal RNA, 451 nt
Filed under: bacterium SV04
Lineage: Bacteria
Description: bacterial SSU rRNA
Rfam family: Bacterial small subunit ribosomal RNA
Source: RNAcentral
UGGCUCAGAAUGAACGCUGGCGGCAUGCCUAACACAUGCAAGUCGAACGAGACCUUCGGGUCUAGUGGCGCACGGGUGCGUAACGCGUGGGAAUCUGCCCUUGGGUUCGGAAUANCAGUGAGAAAUUACUGCUAAUACCGAAUGAUGACGUAAGUCCAAAGAUUUAUCGCCCAGGGAUGAGCCCGCGUAGGAUUAGCUAGUUGGUGAGGUAAAAGCUCACCAAGGCGACGAUCCUUAGCUGGUCUGAGAGGAUGAUCAGCCACACUGGGACUGAGACACGGCCCAGACUCCUACGGGAGGCAGCAGUGGGGAAUAUUGGACAAUGGGCGAAAGCCUGAUCCAGCAAUGCCGCGUGUAGUGAUGAAGGCCUUAGGGUUGUAAAGACUCUUUUACCCGGGCAUGCAUAAUGACAGUACCGGGUAGCAAUAAGACGCCGGGCUAACCCCUGUGC